AAUGUGCCUUCGGGAACCCUGAGACAGGUGCUGCAUGGCUGUCGUCAGCUCGUGUUGUGAAAUGUUGGGUUAAGUCCCGCAACGAGCGCAACCCUUAUCCUUUGUUGCCAGCGGUCCGGCCGGGAACUCAAAGGAGACUGCCAGUGAUAAACUGGAGGAAGGUGGGGAUGACGUCAAGUCAUCAUGGCCCUUACGACCAGGGCUACACACGUGCUACAAUGGCGCAUACAAAGAGAAGCGACCUCGCGAGAGCAAGCGGACCUCAUAAAGUGCGUCGUAGUCCGGAUUGGAGUCUGCAACUCGACUCCAUGAAGUCGGAAUCGCUAGUAAUCGUGGAUCAGAAUGCCACGGUGAAUACGUUCCCGGGCCUUGUACACACCGCCCGUCACACCAUGGGAGUGGGUUGCAAAAGAACGUAGGUAGCUUAACCUUCGGG
Molecule: ribosomal RNA, 436 nt
Filed under: uncultured Gammaproteobacteria bacterium
Lineage: Bacteria; Pseudomonadati; Pseudomonadota; Gammaproteobacteria
Description: bacterial SSU rRNA
Rfam family: Bacterial small subunit ribosomal RNA
Source: RNAcentral